AAAACUUUCAACAACGGAUCUCUUGGUUCUGGCAUCGAUGAAGAACGCAGCGAAAUGCGAUAAGUAAUGUGAAUUGCAGAAUUCAGUGAAUCAUCAAAUCUUUGAACGCACAUUGCGCCCUUUGGCACUCCAAAGGGCAUGCCUGUCCGAGCGUCAUC
Molecule: ribosomal RNA, 158 nt
Filed under: Catolechia wahlenbergii
Lineage: Eukaryota; Fungi; Ascomycota; Lecanoromycetes; Rhizocarpales; Rhizocarpaceae
Description: 5.8S ribosomal RNA
Rfam family: 5.8S ribosomal RNA
About the family: 5.8S ribosomal RNA (5.8S rRNA) is a component of the large subunit of the eukaryotic ribosome. It is transcribed by RNA polymerase I as part of the 45S precursor that also contains 18S and 28S rRNA.
Source: RNAcentral